This 253-nucleotide ribosomal RNA is filed under the name uncultured bacterium. Its description in RNAcentral is "partial 16S ribosomal RNA". It matches the Rfam family "Bacterial small subunit ribosomal RNA", at positions 524 to 776 of the family's 1533-position model. The record is from RNAcentral.
UACGUAGGGGGCAAGCGUUGUCCGGAUUUAUUGGGCGUAAAGAGCGUGUAGGCGGCCAAACAGGUCAGCUGUGAAAACUCGAGGCUCAACCUCGAGACGUCGGUUGAAACCGUUUGGCUAGAGUCCGGAAGAGGAGAGUGGAAUUCCCGGUGUAGCGGUGAAAUGCGCAGAUAUCAGGAAGAACACCCGUGGCGAAAGCGGCUCUCUGGAACGGUACUGACGCUGAGACGCGAAAGCGUGGGGAGCGAACAGG